Molecule: ribosomal RNA, 397 nt
Filed under: uncultured bacterium
Lineage: Bacteria
Description: bacterial SSU rRNA
Rfam family: Bacterial small subunit ribosomal RNA
Source: RNAcentral
UCAGGCCUAACACAUGCAAGUCGAGCGCACCUUUUCGGAGGUGAGCGGCGCACGGGUGGUAACGCGUGGGAACCUACCCUGGGGUAGGGGAUAACCGCUGGAAACGGCGGCUAAUACCCUAUACGUCCUUCGGGAGAAAGAUUUAUCGCCCUGGGAUGGGCCCGCGUCGGAUUAGCUAGUUGGUGGGGUAAAGGCUCACCAAGGCGACGAUCCGUAGCUGGUCUGAGAGGAUGAUCAGCCACACUGGGACUGAGACACGGCCCAGACUCCUACGGGAGGCAGCAGUGGGGAAUAUUGGACAAUGGGCGCAAGCCUGAUCCAGCCAUGCCGCGUGAGUGAAGAAGGCCUUAGGGUUGUAAAGCUCUUUCACCCGCGAAGAUGANGACNGUNGCGNANA